Molecule: ribosomal RNA, 325 nt
Filed under: uncultured Oscillospiraceae bacterium
Lineage: Bacteria; Bacillati; Bacillota; Clostridia; Eubacteriales; Oscillospiraceae
Description: partial 16S ribosomal RNA
Source: RNAcentral
GGAGUCUGGGCCGUGUCUCAGUCCCAAUGUGGCCGUUGAGCCUCUCAGCUCGGCUACUGAUCAUCGCUUUGGUGGGCCGUUACCCCGCCAACUGGCUAAUCAGCCGCGAGCCCAUCUUUUGGUUGGAUUUCUCCUUUGACUGUGUGAAGAUGUCUUCUCACAGUGUUAUGCGGUAUUAGCACUGAUUUCUCAAUGUUAUCCCCCUCCAUAAGGUAGGUUGCUCACGUGUUACUCACCCGUCCGCCACUAAAUUUUCGUCUCCUGGUAAACAUUCGACUAAAUUCCGUUCGACUUGCAUGUCUUAUGUGCGCCGCCAGCGUUUCUC